ACCAAGCCUACCUCCCCUGGAAAGGGGCAUCAUAGAGGGUGAUAAUCCCGUACAUGGCUUGGAGCGCCCGAGGCUUUGUGAUACGCUUUCUAAGAGUCGAGUUGUUUGGGAAUGCAGCUCAAAAUGGGUGGUAAAUGCCAUCUAAGGCUAAAUAUUGGGGAGAGACCGAUAGCGAACAAGUACAGUGAUGGAAAGAUGAAAAGAACUUUGAAAAGAGAGUUAAACAGUACGUGAAAUUGCCAAAAGGGAAGGGUAGGAGGUCAGAGAUGCGGCCUGGGAUUCAGCCUUGCUUUUGCUUGGUGUUUUUCCCAGAUUGCAGGCCAACGUCGGUUUUGGGCACUGGAGAAGGGUAGGAGGAACGUGGCACCCCUCGGGGUGUGUUAUAGCCUCCUACUGGAUACAGCGACCGAGACCGAGGACAGCAGCGUACUCGCAAGAGCGGGCCUUCGGGCACCUUUACGCUUAGGGCGUUGGCAUAAUGGCCCUCUACCACCCGUCUUG
RNAcentral lists this ribosomal RNA (501 nucleotides) under Moesziomyces antarcticus. RNAcentral describes it as "eukaryotic LSU rRNA". It matches the Rfam family "Eukaryotic large subunit ribosomal RNA", at positions 174 to 656 of the family's 3401-position model. Lineage: Eukaryota; Fungi; Basidiomycota; Ustilaginomycetes; Ustilaginales; Ustilaginaceae. The record is from RNAcentral.